Molecule: ribosomal RNA, 334 nt
Filed under: uncultured bacterium
Lineage: Bacteria
Description: bacterial SSU rRNA
Rfam family: Bacterial small subunit ribosomal RNA
Source: RNAcentral
AACGAACGCUGGCGGCAGGCCUAACACAUGCAAGUCGAGCGCCCAGCAAUGGGAGCGGCGCACGGGUGAGUAACACGUGGGAAUAUGCCCUUUGGUUCGGAAUAACGCAGGGAAACUUGCGCUAAUACCGGAUAAGCCCUACGGGGGAAGAUUUAUCGCCAUUGGAGUAGCCCGCGUCUGAUUAGCUAGUUGGUGAGGUAAAAGACCCACCAAGGCAACGAUCAGUAGCUGGUUUGAGAGAACGACCAGCCACACUGGGACUGAGACACGGCCCAGACUCCUACGGGAGGCAGCAGUGGGGAAUCUUGGACAAUGGGGGAAACCCGUGAUCCAG